This 73-nucleotide transfer RNA is filed under the name Anaerolineae bacterium. RNAcentral describes it as "tRNA-Arg". It matches the Rfam family "tRNA". Rfam says of the family: Transfer RNA (tRNA) molecules are approximately 80 nucleotides in length. Their secondary structure includes four short double-helical elements and three loops (D, anti-codon, and T loops). Further hydrogen bonds mediate the characteristic L-shaped molecular structure. tRNAs have two regions of fundamental functional importance: the anti-codon, which is responsible for specific mRNA codon recognition, and the 3' end, to which the tRNAs corresponding amino acid is attached (by aminoacyl-tRNA synthetases). tRNAs cope with the degeneracy of the genetic code in two manners: having more than one tRNA (with a specific anti-codon) for a particular amino acid; and 'wobble' base-pairing, i.e. permitting non-standard base-pairing at the 3rd anti-codon position. Lineage: Bacteria; Bacillati; Chloroflexota; Anaerolineae. The record is from RNAcentral.
GCCUCCGUAGCUCAGAGGACAGAGCAGCGGUCUUCUAAACCGUUGGUCGUGGGUUCGAAUCCCUCCGGGGGCG